This 364-nucleotide unclassified non-coding RNA is filed under the name uncultured bacterium. RNAcentral's name for it is "contains 16S-23S intergenic spacer region". The record is from RNAcentral.
UCCGACUUAACGCCGGCAGUAUCGUAUGAAAAAUACAACAUACGACGAGGGUUGCGCUCGUUUACGGACUUAACCGUACACUUCACAGCACGAGCUGACGACAGCCGUGCAACACCUGUCAUCUGGUUCCUUGCGGCACGGCCCUAUUUCUAGGGCUUUCCAGAGAUGUCAAACCUGGGUGAGGUUCUUCGCUUAACAUCGAAUUAAACCACAUGCUCCACCGCUUGUGCGGGUCCCCGUCAAUUCCUUUGAGUUUUAGCCUUGCGGCCGUACUCCCCAGGCGGCUGACUUAACGCGUUAGCUACGGUACGCAACGGGUCGAUACGUCACAUACCUAGUCAGCAUCGUUUAGGGCGUGGACUAC